Molecule: ribosomal RNA, 468 nt
Filed under: [Eubacterium] saphenum
Lineage: Bacteria; Bacillati; Bacillota; Clostridia; Peptostreptococcales; Anaerovoracaceae
Description: bacterial SSU rRNA
Rfam family: Bacterial small subunit ribosomal RNA
Source: RNAcentral
GAUGAACGCUGGCGGCGUGCUUAACACAUGCAAGUCGAGCGAGAAACUACAUGCAGACACUUCGGUAGAAGCGAGUAGCGGAAAGCGGCGGACGGGUGAGUAACGCGUAGGCAACCUGCCCUUCACAGAGGUAUAGCCUCGGGAAACCGGGAUUAAAACCACAUAAAAUCAUAGGUUCGCAUGAGCCAAAGGUCAAAGAUUUAUCGGUGAAGGAUGGGCCUGCGUCUGAUUAGCUGGUUGGUAGGGUAAAAGCCUACCAAGGCGACGAUCAGUAGCCGACCUGAGAGGGUGAUCGGCCACAUUGGAACUGAGACACGGUCCAAACUCCUACGGGAGGCAGCAGUGGGGGAUAUUGCACAAUGGGGGAAACCCUGAUGCAGCAACGCCGCGUGAGGUAUGAAGGCCUUUGGGUUGUAAGCCUCUGUCCUAGGGGAAGAAAAAAAUGACGGUACCCGAGGAGGAAGCCCC